Molecule: ribosomal RNA, 398 nt
Filed under: uncultured bacterium
Lineage: Bacteria
Description: partial 16S ribosomal RNA
Rfam family: Bacterial small subunit ribosomal RNA
Source: RNAcentral
AUACGUAGGGAGCGAGCGUUGUCCGGAAUUACUGGGCGUAAAGAGCUCGUAGGUGGUUUGUCGCGUCGCCUGUGAAAUUCCGGGGCUUAACUCCGGGCGUGCAGGCGAUACGGGCAUAACUUGAGUACUGUAGGGGAGACUGGAAUUCCUGGUGUAGCGGUGAAAUGCGCAGAUAUCAGGAGGAACACCGGUGGCGAAGGCGGGUCUCUGGGCAGUAACUGACGCUGAGGAGCGAAAGCAUGGGUAGUGAACAGGAUUAGAUACCCUGGUAGUCCAUGCCGUAAACGGUGGGCGCUAGGUGUAGGGGUCUUCCACGACUUCUGUGCCGUAGCUAACGCAUUAAGCGCCCCGCCUGGGGAGUACGGCCGCAAGGCUAAAACUUAAAGGAAUUGACGGGG